This 71-nucleotide transfer RNA is filed under the name Loxodonta africana (African savanna elephant). It matches the Rfam family "tRNA". Rfam says of the family: Transfer RNA (tRNA) molecules are approximately 80 nucleotides in length. Lineage: Eukaryota; Metazoa; Chordata; Mammalia; Proboscidea; Elephantidae. The record is from Rfam by way of RNAcentral.
GCAGUGGUAGCUCAGUGGUAGAGUUCUCACCUUUUGUGUGAGAGAACCAGCUUCGACUCCUGGCCAGUGCA